RNAcentral lists this long non-coding RNA (490 nucleotides) under Equus caballus (horse). RNAcentral's name for it is "lncRNA (ENSECAG00000054719.1)". The record is from RNAcentral. Lineage: Eukaryota; Metazoa; Chordata; Mammalia; Perissodactyla; Equidae.
GUUUUCUCCUGAGACAAAUGGAAAACUAGAAUACUGUUGCCAUGGGAAAGCACAGUGAAUGCCAAGAAACCUAAAUGGCAAAAGUCUACUACAUGUGGGGAGGGGGCAGUGUUUUUAAAUUAAUAAGUAAAAUAAUUGUUCAGAUAGUUUCUUUUAACCUUGAAGCAUCUUAGAGCCUCCAAGAGUUUAUCAAAAGGACAUUCAUGGCAGCCAAUGGAGAUCAAAUGGAUAGUCUCCUGACUCAGUCAUUCAGUUUACUAUCCAGGAACCAGAGAGGUCCCCCAGGUAACGUUGAAAGGUGAGAUACAAGCAGAGUUCUUUAGACUUGGAACAUCCAUCAGACAUUCUCGCUUCCUGCCGCCACAAACGCACUGCAGUGCUCAUAGAAAAGUGAAUUCUCAUCAGUUUCUAGGCAAGGUGGGAUGCCUGCCACAGCAUGGCUUGCUAAGUGGUGCAUAGGUCUGCAUCUGGGAUCUGAACCAGUGAACCC